UCGGUUUUGUAUACUGGUCACUGAGCAAAGGUCAGUGUCAGUGAUACUGGUCCUAACUAACCUUUUUUUGCUAUCGUGUUAGUCGUGAACUACCGUUUUUAUUGCGAAAUACCGUUUGCUGCUAACUAACGUUUACUGCUCCCGUUUGAAGUGAUCUACAUUUUUAGUCUGAUCGAGAAUUUCCUGGCAGGUUCCUUUUGUUUAUACCAUCGCUGAUUAACGCCAAUGCAAUCAGGUGGAAAAAUACAUUUGUAAUCAUUUUCUCAGAUAAACACUGCAUUUCUUAAAAAUCUUUUUGUCAAAAGCCAGAACAUCAAAAUGACGAACUCGAAAUUAUUCUUGCCGUAUUCAUGUCGUCUAGUCUGCAUAUGGUUGGUCACUGUAGCCAGUAUCUCACUGAGUAUCACCUAUCUCAACUCAAUGCCAAGUUAUCUUCCCAAGUAUGAUGACAUAAAGCUGACCGAGAAUGCAGAGAAGGAGGUGUACAGUAGAAAGGAGUGCGAUCCUUGUCCACCCCAGGAACCAUGCCCUUCUGGUCGUAAUCUCACGCGUAAUUUUAAGGCAAGUGCACUUCACUUCAUCUUUUUUUUCACUGGCGUACAGACGGGGAUGGGCCUUGGGGGUCAUGGAUCAUCCAAACAUUUUCAUGAGACAAAAAAGGGGAGG
Lytechinus variegatus (green sea urchin) is the source of this 666-nucleotide long non-coding RNA. RefSeq lists it as uncharacterized. Lineage: Eukaryota; Metazoa; Echinodermata; Echinoidea; Temnopleuroida; Toxopneustidae. The transcript is spliced from 3 exons. The record is from RefSeq and is a predicted model, not a curated record.